GAGUUUGAUUCUGGCUCAGAACGAACGCUGGCGGCGCGUCUUAAGCAUGCAAGUCGAACGGUAAGGGAGAGCUUGCUCUCCCCUAGAGUGGCGGACUGGUGAGUAACGCGUAGGUGACCUACCCUGAAGAUGGGGAUAGCUAGUAGAAAUAUUAGAUAAUACCGAAUAAGCUCAUUUGCAUAAAGGCAGAUGAGGAAAGGAGCUACGGCUCCGCUUUAGGAUGGGCCUGCGUCCCAUUAGCUAAGUUGGUGAGGUAAAGGCUUACCAAGGCAACGAUGGGUAUCCGGCCUGAGAGGGUGAACGGACACAUUGGGACUGAGAUACGGCCCAAACUCCUACGGGAGGCAGCAGCUAAGAAUCUUCCGCAAUGGACGAAAGUCUGACGGAGCGACGCCGUGUGAAUGAAGAAGGCUGAAAAGUUGUAAAAUUCUUUUGCAGAUGAAGAAUAAGGAUAGGAGGGAAUGCCUAU
Molecule: ribosomal RNA, 469 nt
Filed under: Treponema sp. canine oral taxon 207
Lineage: Bacteria; Pseudomonadati; Spirochaetota; Spirochaetia; Treponematales; Treponemataceae
Description: bacterial SSU rRNA
Rfam family: Bacterial small subunit ribosomal RNA
Source: RNAcentral